RNAcentral lists this long non-coding RNA (320 nucleotides) under Malus domestica (apple). RNAcentral describes it as "long non-coding RNA (MDOM_LNC003168)". Lineage: Eukaryota; Viridiplantae; Streptophyta; Magnoliopsida; Rosales; Rosaceae. The record is from RNAcentral.
UGAGUAAUGAUACCGACGAUGGUGGCAAGGAAAAUGGAGAGAAGCUGCCACGCGUUUUUGGUGACUCCUGCUGGAGUAGGGACGAACCAGAGGAUAACUCCCGUCGCGAUCGACGCGAUUAGAGGCUUCAUAGCUGCGCCCUGCCAUGGUUCCUUGGCGGGAGUGAUGGAGGACCCACCGGUGGCUACAGUGGCUUUGACGGAGAAGCCACGGCGGGAGUGAGUGAAGUCCCGGGUUAAAUUGGGGAGUUUGGGGGAGGAAAUGAGGGGGGAGAGGGUUUUGUUGAAACCGAAGGCGGCGGUUUUGAGGGAGUUUCGGCG